UGGAUGCAGGCUGUGCCAACUGGGAUGAUAACACUACAAAAAUAUUCAUGGACCUUUGCAUUGAUGAGAAGAAUAAGCUCAACUACAACAAAAAGGGCCUAACUAAGCUAGGUUGGCACAACCUGUACACAAAUUUUAAACAAUAGACGGGCAAGAAAUAUUCCUGCAAACAGCUUCAGAACAAAUUUAAUGCCUUUAAGAGGCAGUACAAGGAUUGGAGAAAACUGAAGGACAAGAGUGGUACCGGGUGGAACAACAGUACCCGCACCAUCGAUUGCGAUGAUGAGUGGUGGACAUCCCGAAUUGAGGAGAAUGAGGCAAACAAACAUUUCCGUGGCAAGGCAUUUCCAUUCUAUGAUGAGUUAACCACACUUUUCGGGACAACGGACAAAGAAGGCAGUCCAAUGUUGUGUGUUGGUGGAAUUGGAGAUAGAACACCAAGUUCUAGAAGUGAAGGCAACCCUAACACUGCGGCAGAUGAAAAUGUUGCCUAGUUGGAGGACAAUGUUGGACGAUCUAGUGUGGGUUGUGUGUUGCAAAGGUCAGGAAAGGAGCAUGUUGUUGACAACCCACCACCCAAGAGAACUAAGAGCAUGGAGUACUAUGUCAAGCGCAUAUCCGAGAGCACGAUGCAAAGGACUAUGAAUGAAAGAAAUCUAAUCAGCCGUGAGGAAGAGGAGGUUAUGGAAAUGCUGCACCUUGUAGAACAAGAUGGUGUACCGAAUGGGUUAGAGUUGUACUUCAUAGCUACUGAGCUGUUUAGAUCGCCAGCCCGACGUGCAUCUUAUAGGAGCAUUACCGCUGCAGAGAACCGAAUUGCAUGGCUCCGAUGGACUUGGGAUAAUGUUAAGAGGAAGUAGUACCGGUCCAUGAUUAGAAAGUCUUUUGGAUCUACCUAGGAAUGUAUGUCCGUGUACUGUGACCAUGGCAUGGUGUGGCAUCGUGUUUCUAAUGUGAAUUAUGUUAUGUUAGACCUGGAUUAUUGAUGCUACUAAUCCAUAUAAAUUUGUGUCGUUAUUGCU
Molecule: long non-coding RNA, 1022 nt
Organism: Setaria italica (foxtail millet)
Lineage: Eukaryota; Viridiplantae; Streptophyta; Magnoliopsida; Poales; Poaceae
Exons: 2
Source: RefSeq, a predicted model, not a curated record